This 79-nucleotide small nucleolar RNA is filed under the name Cucumis sativus (cucumber). The record is from RNAcentral. Lineage: Eukaryota; Viridiplantae; Streptophyta; Magnoliopsida; Cucurbitales; Cucurbitaceae.
AGUAGGUGUGAUGAUUAUAACCCCCAUCAUUUCUGCAUUUGAAUGAUGAAUAUUUUCAUGCACUACCAUCUGACCUUAG